UACGGAGGAUCCGAGCGUUAUCCGGAUUUAUUGGGUUUAAAGGGUGCGUAGGCGGCUUUAUAAGUCAGAGGUGAAAGACGGCAGCUCAACUGUCGCAGUGCCUUUGAUACUGUAUAGCUUGAAUACCGUUGAAGAUGGCGGAAUGAGACAAGUAGCGGUGAAAUGCGUAGAGAUAUGUCUCAGAACUCCGAUUGCGAAGGCAGCUGUCUAAGUCAUUAUUGACGCUGAUGCACGAAAGCGUGGGGAUCGAACAGG
RNAcentral lists this ribosomal RNA (255 nucleotides) under uncultured Sphingobacterium sp. Its description in RNAcentral is "partial 16S ribosomal RNA". It matches the Rfam family "Bacterial small subunit ribosomal RNA", at positions 524 to 776 of the family's 1533-position model. The record is from RNAcentral. Lineage: Bacteria; Pseudomonadati; Bacteroidota; Sphingobacteriia; Sphingobacteriales; Sphingobacteriaceae.